This is a long non-coding RNA of Arabidopsis thaliana (thale cress), 200 nucleotides long. RefSeq annotates it as other RNA. The record is from RefSeq. NCBI's taxonomy places the organism in Eukaryota, Viridiplantae, Streptophyta, Magnoliopsida, Brassicales, Brassicaceae. The transcript has a single exon.
CAGACGCCGUCGUCAUAGCCGAAGGGGUGGCAACUGGUUCUUAUCUUGCCGCCAUCUUUCUUAGUUUUGUUGUAGAGAAAGUGGAUUAGCCAAAUGAUUAAGAUUAGCAAGAAAACUGCCAUAAAGACUAUAAACAUAAUCAUUUUCCCCAUCGAUGAUCGAUCUAUUAGUUUUUCUCUCUUCUUUUAAUUAAUUCAUAC